Molecule: ribosomal RNA, 462 nt
Filed under: uncultured bacterium
Lineage: Bacteria
Description: partial 16S ribosomal RNA
Rfam family: Bacterial small subunit ribosomal RNA
Source: RNAcentral
GACGAACGCUGGCGGCGUGCUUAACACAUGCAAGUCGAACGGAAAGGCCCUUCGGGGUACUCGAGUGGCGAACGGGUGAGUAACACGUGGGUGAUCUGCCCUGCACUUUGGGAUAAGCCUGGGAAACUGGGUCUAAUACCGAAUAGGACCACGCGCUUCAUGGUGUGUGGUGGAAAGCUUUUGCGGUGUGGGAUGGGCCCGCGGCCUAUCAGCUUGUUGGUGGGGUAAUGGCCUACCAAGGCGACGACGGGUAGCCGGCCUGAGAGGGUGACCGGCCACACUGGGACUGAGAUACGGCCCAGACCCCUACGGGAGGCAGCAGUGGGGAAUAUUGCACAAUGGGCGCAAGCCUGAUGCAGCGACGCCGCGUGAGGGAUGACGGCCUUCGGGUUGUAAACCUCUUUCAAUAGGGACGAAGCGCAAGUGACGGUACCUAUAGAAGAAGCACCGGCCAACUACGUG